GACGAACGCUGGCGGCGUGCCUAAUACAUGCAAGUAGAACGCUGAAGGAGGAGCUUGCUUCUCUGGAUGAGUUGCGAACGGGUGAGUAACGCGUAGGUAACCUGCCUUGUAGCGUGGGAUAACUAUUGGAAACGAUAGCUAAUACCGCAUAAGAGUAGAUGUUGCAUGACAUUUGCUUAAAAGUUGCAAUUGCAUCACUACCAGAUGGACCUGCGUUGUAUUAGCUAGUUGGUGGGGUAACGGCUCACCAAGGCGACGAUACAUAGCCGACCUGAGAGGGUGGUCGGCCAAACUGGGACCGAGACACGGCCCAGACUCCUACGGGAGGCAGCAGUAGGGAAUCUUCGGAAAUGGACGGAAGUCUGACCGAGCAACGCCGCGUGAGUGAAGAAGGUUUUCGGAUCGUAAAGCUCUGUUGUAAGAGAAGAACGAGUGUGAGAGUGGAAAGUUCACACUGUGACGGUAUCUUACCAGAAAGGGACGGCUAACUACGUG
RNAcentral lists this ribosomal RNA (495 nucleotides) under uncultured bacterium. Its description in RNAcentral is "partial 16S ribosomal RNA". It matches the Rfam family "Bacterial small subunit ribosomal RNA", at positions 28 to 507 of the family's 1533-position model. The record is from RNAcentral.